RNAcentral lists this long non-coding RNA (420 nucleotides) under Homo sapiens (human). RNAcentral's name for it is "HSALNT0223204". The record is from RNAcentral. Lineage: Eukaryota; Metazoa; Chordata; Mammalia; Primates; Hominidae.
AGAGAAGAUCUAACUUGCCACCAGCUUGCUGGAUGACCACAGAAAAAUCACUUCUUCCUUUGGACCUCAGUUUCCUCCUCUGUGGAGGUCUGGAGCUCUACGAGAUUCAUCACCCAUGUCCUGGGCCUGAGGAGAGGGGACCAGUGAGCAUAUUAAGAGCUGCAUUGGUCAGCUGACUCCACUCUGUGACUGCAUCGCUCAGGGGACUUUUCCAUCUAUUUGUUCCUGCCCCUGGCAAGGCAGCAGGUGGCCAUUUGGAAGAAUGGCACAGGCCAUGGUUUUAAUCUCCUCUGCUCUUCUUCAGCGUUUUGUUUUUCUGAACCCACAUCUUCCUCCUACCCUGACUUUCUUGCUUCUCUCUAAGCCACUUCUGUCUUUCGCCCCCUGCCCUUGUUUUUCCCUUGUCACCUCCUGUAGAUU